Molecule: ribosomal RNA, 466 nt
Filed under: uncultured bacterium
Lineage: Bacteria
Description: bacterial SSU rRNA
Rfam family: Bacterial small subunit ribosomal RNA
Source: RNAcentral
CCAUCCCGCGUGCAGGAUGCUGCCCUAUGGGUUGUAACUGCUUUUAGCAGAGAAGAAAAGCUGACAUUUAUGUUGGUCUGACGGUAUCUGCAGAAUAAGCACCGGCUAACUCCGUGCCAGCAGCCGCGGUAAUACGGAGGGUGCAAGCGUUAUCCGGAAUCACUGGGUUUAAAGGGUGCGUAGGCGGAAAAUUAAGUCAGUGGUGAAAUCUUGUCGCUUAACGAUAAAAUUGCCAUUGAUACUGGUAUUCUUGAAUUGGGUUGAGGUUAGCGGAAUGUGACAUGUAGCGGUGAAAUGCAUAGAUAUGUCAUGGAACACCAAUUGCGAAGGCAGCUAACUGGGCCUUGAUUGACGCUGAGGCACGAAAGCGUGGGUAGCGAACAGGAUUAGAUACCCUGGUAGUCCACGCCCUAAACGAUGCUACUCGAUGUUUGGACUUUAGUUUGAGCUCCAAGGGAAACCGAUA